This 581-nucleotide ribosomal RNA is filed under the name Bacillus cereus. RNAcentral's name for it is "bacterial SSU rRNA". It matches the Rfam family "Bacterial small subunit ribosomal RNA", at positions 37 to 595 of the family's 1533-position model. Lineage: Bacteria; Bacillati; Bacillota; Bacilli; Caryophanales; Bacillaceae. The record is from RNAcentral.
GGGCGGCGGGUGCCUAAUAACUGCAAGUCGAGCGAAUGGAUUAAGAGCUUGCUCUUAUGAAGUUAGCGGCGGCCGUUUGAGUAACACGUGGGUAACCUGCCCAUAAGACUGGGAUAACUCCGGGAAACCGGGGCUAAUACCGGAUAACAUUUUGAACCGCAUGGUUCGAAAUUGAAAGGCGGCUUCGGCUGUCACUUAUGGAUGGACCCGCGUCGCAUUAGCUAGUUGGUGAGGUAACGGCUCACCAAGGCAACGAUGCGUAGCCGACCUGAGAGGGUGAUCGGCCACACUGGGACUGACACACGGCCCAGACUCCUACGGGAGGCAGCAGUAGGGAAUCUUCCGCAAUGGACGAAAGUCUGACGGAGCAACGCCGCGUGAGUGAUGAAGGCUUUCGGGUCGUACAACUCUGUUGUUAGGGAAGAACUAGUGCUACAUUGAAUAAGCUGGCACCUUGACGGUACCUAACCAGAAAGCCGCGGCUAUCGACGUGCCAGCAGUCGCGAUCAUACUUAGGCGGCAACCGAUAUCCGCUAUUACUGCCACCAUAUAGCGCGCCGGAGGUCUCUUAUUUCUGUUGU